RNAcentral lists this ribosomal RNA (302 nucleotides) under uncultured bacterium. Its description in RNAcentral is "partial 16S ribosomal RNA". It matches the Rfam family "Bacterial small subunit ribosomal RNA", at positions 508 to 809 of the family's 1533-position model. The record is from RNAcentral.
GCAGUCGCCACGGUAAAACGUAGGUGGCUAGCGUUGUUCGGAAUUACUGGGCGUAAAGCGCACGUAGGCGGCUUUGUAAGUUAGAGGUGAAAGCCCGGAGCUCAACCCCGGAAUUGCCUUUAAGACUGCCGAGCUAGUAGGUGAGAGAGAUGAGUGGAAUUCCGAGUGUAGAGGUGAAAUGCGUAGAUAUCGGAAGGAACACCUGUGGCGAAAGCGGCUCACUGGACCAUUUCUGACGCUGAUGCACGAAAGCUAGGGGAGCAAACAGGAUUAGAUACCCCCGUGUCCCUGUCUCUUAUACA